AUAAGGAGUCGGACCUGCCCAGUGAAAUUUUUUAACGGCCGCGGUACUCUGACCGUGCAAAGGUAGCAUAAUCAUUUGCCUUAUAAUUGGAGGCUAGUAUGAAUGGUUUGACAAGAAUAUAGCUGUCUCUUUUUAAUUUAUUAGAAUUUUAUUUUAAGGUGAAGAAGCCUUAAUUCAAUUAAAAGACAAGAAGACCCUGUCGAGCUUUAAAAAAAUUAGCAGAGAUCACUUUAAUUAAAUUAAAAAAUUAUCUGUUAAAAAUUUUGGUUGGGGCGACUGAGGAACAAAAAAAGCUUCCUUUUAACAAUGAAAUAUAUAAAUUUUGAUCCAAAAGUUUUUGAUUAAAAAAAUUAGUUACCGCAGGGAUAACAGCAUUAUCUUUUUUAAGAGCUCUUAUCGAAAAAAAGGUUUGUGACCUCGAUGUUGGACCAGAAUAUCCUAAAGAUGCAGAAGUCUUUAAGGGUUGGUCUGUUCGACCAUUAAAAUUCUA
RNAcentral lists this ribosomal RNA (490 nucleotides) under Clavus canalicularis. RNAcentral describes it as "partial 16S ribosomal RNA". It matches the Rfam family "Bacterial large subunit ribosomal RNA", at positions 1845 to 2598 of the family's 2925-position model. Lineage: Eukaryota; Metazoa; Mollusca; Gastropoda; Neogastropoda; Drilliidae. The record is from RNAcentral.